This is a non-coding RNA of Caenorhabditis elegans, 148 nucleotides long. Lineage: Eukaryota; Metazoa; Nematoda; Chromadorea; Rhabditida; Rhabditidae. The record is from Ensembl.
UAGAAAAAUGCGCCUUUGAAUCGAUUUUCGGGAAAAUUUCGAGAGUUUCUGGGCUAAGCUAAGUGGUGAGUUUCUCCUACAAAUCGUGGAACGCCUUACUAAGCCCCGCCCCUUUCUUGGACAAAAAAUAUCAAACCACGCCCAUUUU